RNAcentral lists this ribosomal RNA (398 nucleotides) under uncultured bacterium. RNAcentral's name for it is "partial 16S ribosomal RNA". It matches the Rfam family "Bacterial small subunit ribosomal RNA", at positions 360 to 775 of the family's 1533-position model. The record is from RNAcentral.
AAUCUUGCGCAAUGGGCGACAGCCUGACGCAGCCAUGCCGCGUGAAUGAUGAAGGUCUUAGGAUUGUAAAAUUCUUUCACUGGGGCCGAUAAUGACGGUACCCGGAGAAUAAGCUCCGGCGAACGUCGUGCCAGCAGCCGCGGUAAUACGAAGGGGGCUAGCGUUGCUCGGAAUUACUGGGCGUAAAGGGCGCGUAGGCGGAUCGUUAAGUCAGAGGUGAAAUCCCAGGGCUCAACCCUGGAACUGCCUUUGAUACUGGCGAUCUUGAGUAUGAGAGAGGUAUGUGGAACUCCGAGUGUAGAGGUGAAAUUCGUAGAUAUUCGGAAGAACACCAGUGGCGAAGGCGACAUACUGGCUCAUUACUGACGCUGAGGCGCGAAAGCGUGGGGAGCAAACAG